UUUUUUAAAAGUGCAGAACCAAAUGAACUAAUGACCCAAUGAUGCAGAAUGGAAUUUAAGAACUGAUGAAGAGAUGAUAACGCUGCAAGGGAACAAAUUCUGCCACUCCCAAAUGUGUCUCUUUAGCAUAAGGAUUUAGACGGAAAGAAACAGAAGACUUGGGAAGUUUUUCUUGUUAUACUUCCCCUUAACUGCCUAAAAGAAUUUGGAUGAAGGGCCUAGUCCCAGAAUAGAGCUGUCACCAGAGAGAUCUGCAAAUAGGGACUAAGUGUGAUGGGGGAAACUUGGCAGGGUCUGGACAUCAGAGUCUGGACAGUGAAACCACUCUGUGUUCCGCUGUCUCCACGUAAACCAGCACGCAUUUAUUUACCAAACAUUUGCCUUCCCCCCUCUAUGUGAGUUACCUUCCUCCCCUUUGAAGUCACAAACCACUGCCCCCAACAUCCUCUUUUGUCUUUAGCUGAAGAUUAUAUUUAAGCUUUAAUAUUUAAGGAUUUCAGCUAUUUUUGGUGAAUUACUCAGUCUUCCUGGGCCACUUCCAUGCAUACAUACUAUUAAAUUUCUGUCUUAUUUUGUCUUAUUAACCUAUCUUGAUGGGGAGAGAGUAAAGGGACAAAGUAGGUAAUUAAAUAGUUAAUCCAGUAGGGGAUUGUAUGUAGAAAAAUAUAUGGGAGACCCCUGUAAGUUAACGGUGACUCCUGAAAGCAGGUUGGUUUAACCACAAAACCAAGCAGGCUUGCUUAGCAACAAAACCAGGCAGCAGAAGUACCAGCGCUGCCCCAGACAAUAAAACAAUGGUGGCGUGAGCCCCACACCCUGCCCUUACUGAGCUCAGUAAGUGAACGGUCCCUAGGACGUGCUCUCUACACACAUCAAGGACAAUGCGUUGUGAGUUUAGCUUGACCAUGUGGGGACAAGAAGACUCCCUUGCCCAACCUGGAGGAGGAGCUGAUAAUGGAAGCAUGACGUCUACUCAAGAAAGGCAAAGGAGCUGGAUUCAUUCUAUACUGACAUAAAGGACUGCGGUGCUGGAGCUCUUUGGUCCCCCUCCCCGCCACCCCCAAACAACACUCGGCGGCUUCAGAUGGCAACCACUGCAGGGCCCUGACGAGCCGAUCAAUCCCGGAGGCUCUGGGGCUCUGAUCGGGUGCCUGAGAACAGGCCAGGUGGGUGAUGAUACGGAGCCUGAAGACAGAGAGCUGGAGGAUCGACUGCAGUCAGUACGAGUGGCCCCGGGAAGAGGACGUGGAUCUUCAGAGACGCGGGCGGGGUCCCACUGCUGAGGAGGCGACAGGGGAACUGGUGUGUAAAAAGGGGGAGUCUGCUGUUCGGGCUGCUCCUGACAGGAUGUGUCCGUCUACACCCCUCAGUUCUGAGACUUUUCUCCUACACUGUACAGCCAUCCCCGAGUGUUUCUCCCAAGGGGUCUCGCCUUUCGAGAUGGCCCACACUCUGUCUCUGGACUGUGUUUUCCCUCUAGAAAGAUCCACUUCUUGCCGAUAACUCUGUCUCUCACUGAACCCUUUCUGUGAUGAGACAUCGAGAAACCUGAGCUUCCUGAAGUUCCAAGCUGGUUUUGCCUGGUUUCAAGGCCCAGUCUGGGUUUUGGCUGUGUUCUAGUCCCCGCUGCGUGGGAGGCUGAGGAAGAAAAGCUAUAAUGAAGCAGACAGCGCCAUGAAACCUAAGAUGGCUGCGUGGCUCGCCCGACUCCCUGACAAACUCCAUUUCAUUACGUGGGUUAAGGCCCUCCUUGGCUACAAAGCUGAUACGUUCACAAUAAAAAUGAAUGGUUAGAAAUGU
Molecule: non-coding RNA, 1800 nt
Organism: Odocoileus virginianus texanus
Lineage: Eukaryota; Metazoa; Chordata; Mammalia; Artiodactyla; Cervidae
Source: RefSeq, a predicted model, not a curated record